UAGUCCACACCGUAAACGCUGUCUACUAGCUGUUUGUGAGUUUAACUCGUGAGUAGCGAAGCUAACGCGCUAAGUAGACCGCCUGGGGAGUACGGCCGCAAGGUUAAAACUCAAAUGAAUUGACGGGGGCCCGCACAAGCGGUGGAGCAUGUGGUUUAAUUCGAUGCAACGCGAAGAACCUUACCUACACUUGACAUUUAGCGAACUUAGCAGAGAUGCUUUGGUGCCUUCGGGAACGCUAGGACAGGUGCUGCAUGGCUGUCGUCAGCUCGUGUCGUGAGAUGUUGGGUUAAGUCCCGCAACGAGCGCAACCCUUGUCCUUACUUGCCAGCACUUCGGGUGGGAACUGUAAGGAGACUGCCGGUGACAAACCGGNGGAAGGUGGGGACGACGUCAAGUCAUCAUGGCCCUUACGAGUAGGGGCUACACACGUGCUACAAUGGGCCGGUACAGACGGGUUGCGAAGCAGCAAUGUGGGAGCUAAUCUGAAAAAACCGGGUCGUAGUCCGGGAUUGGGGGUCUGC
RNAcentral lists this ribosomal RNA (524 nucleotides) under uncultured bacterium. RNAcentral describes it as "bacterial SSU rRNA". It matches the Rfam family "Bacterial small subunit ribosomal RNA", at positions 791 to 1308 of the family's 1533-position model. The record is from RNAcentral.